CGUGAGAUGUUGGGUUAAGUCCCGCAACGAGCGCAACCCUUGUCCUUUGUUGCCAGCGGGUAAAGCCGGGAACUCAAAGGAGACUGCCAGUGACAAACUGGAGGAAGGCAGGGAUGACGUUCAAGUCAUCAUGGCCCUUACGGUCAGGGCUACACACGUGCUACAAUGGGGCGUACAGAGGGAAACGAUACCGCGAGGUGGAGUGGAACCCAAAAAGCGUCCCUAAGUUCGGAUUGGAGUCUGCAACUCGACUCCAUGAA
This 260-nucleotide ribosomal RNA is filed under the name uncultured bacterium. RNAcentral's name for it is "partial 16S ribosomal RNA". It matches the Rfam family "Bacterial small subunit ribosomal RNA", at positions 1066 to 1324 of the family's 1533-position model. The record is from RNAcentral.